Molecule: long non-coding RNA, 214 nt
Filed under: Manihot esculenta (cassava)
Lineage: Eukaryota; Viridiplantae; Streptophyta; Magnoliopsida; Malpighiales; Euphorbiaceae
Description: long non-coding RNA (MESC_LNC002771)
Source: RNAcentral
UAUAGUGAGUUCGGCUUACUUAAAACAUCAUUAAACCAUUACAUUUGAAAGAUCAUGUAAAUAAAGGGAUUAACAUACAAACUAGGGUCAAGCACAACUAUAAUCCUCAAUAACAUCAUUACAUUACAUAACUAAUUAAUACUAUUCAUUACAUUUCAAUAUUUAUCAUGUCCACCACUAGCUAUUACAUGACCAUGACUUUACUCUUCCUGAC